GACGAACGCUGGCGGCGUGCUUAACACAUGCAAGUCGAACGGAAAGGCCCUGCUUUUGUGGGGUGCUCGAGUGGCGAACGGGUGAGUAACACGUGAGUAACCUGCCCUUGACUUUGGGAUAACUUCAGGAAACUGGGGCUAAUACCGGAUAGGAGCUCCUGCUGCAUGGGGGGGGUUGGAAAGUUUCGGCGGUUGGGGAUGGACUCGCGGGCUAUCAGCUUGUUGGUGGGGUAGUGGCUUACCAAGGCUUUGGCGGGUAGCCGGCCUGAGAGGGUGACCGGCCACAUUGGGACUGAGAUACGGCCCAGACUCCUACGGGAGGCAGCAGUGGGGAAUAUUGCACAAUGGGCGGAAGCCUGAUGCAGCAACGCCGCGUGCGGGAUGACGGCCUUCGGGUUGUAAACCGCUUUCGCCUGUGACGAAGCGUGAGUGACGGUAAUGGGUAAAGAAGCACCGGCUAACUACGUG
RNAcentral lists this ribosomal RNA (468 nucleotides) under uncultured bacterium. RNAcentral's name for it is "partial 16S ribosomal RNA". It matches the Rfam family "Bacterial small subunit ribosomal RNA", at positions 28 to 507 of the family's 1533-position model. The record is from RNAcentral.